This 253-nucleotide ribosomal RNA is filed under the name uncultured bacterium. RNAcentral describes it as "partial 16S ribosomal RNA". It matches the Rfam family "Bacterial small subunit ribosomal RNA", at positions 524 to 776 of the family's 1533-position model. The record is from RNAcentral.
UACGUAGGGGGCAAGCGUUGUCCGGAUUUAUUGGGCGUAAAGAGCGUGUAGGCGGCCUGACAGGUCUGCUGUGAAAACUCGAGGCUCAACCUCGAGAUGGCGGCGGAAACCGUCUGGCUAGAGUCCGGAAGAGGAGAGUGGAAUUCCUGGUGUAGCGGUGAAAUGCGCAGAUAUCAGGAAGAACACCUAUGGCGAAGGCAGCUCUCUGGGACGGUACUGACGCUGAGACGCGAAAGCGUGGGGAGCGAACAGG